RNAcentral lists this ribosomal RNA (257 nucleotides) under uncultured bacterium. RNAcentral's name for it is "partial 16S ribosomal RNA". It matches the Rfam family "Bacterial small subunit ribosomal RNA", at positions 337 to 586 of the family's 1533-position model. The record is from RNAcentral.
UCCUACGGGGGGCAGCAGUAGGGAAUCUUCCACAAUGGACGAAAGUCUGAUGGAGCAACGCCGCGUGAGUGAAGAAGGGUUUCGGCUCGUAAAGCUCUGUUGGUAGUGAAGAAAGAUAGAGGGAGUAACUGGCCUUUAUUUUACGGUAAUUACUUAGAAAGUCACGGCUAACUACGUGCCAGCCGCCGCGGGAAUACGUAGGUGGCAAGCGUUGUCCGGGUUUAUUGGGCGUAAAGCGAGUGCAGGCGGGUCAAUAA